This is a long non-coding RNA of Agrilus planipennis (emerald ash borer), 412 nucleotides long. RefSeq lists it as uncharacterized. The record is from RefSeq and is a predicted model, not a curated record. The transcript is spliced from 3 exons. Lineage: Eukaryota; Metazoa; Arthropoda; Insecta; Coleoptera; Buprestidae.
CAACUCAUACAUACCUUUACUUUUGUUAGAGUGUGAUAAUUAAAGUAAGAAACUGUUGCAUAAGGAAUUAAAAGACCUUUCAAAUCGUUGGGUUGAAAUAAUAUGAAUUAAGGUGUACCUUUAAACCAAAAUCGACGUCUCUGAGCUUUUUGCAAAAAAAACAUGCUGGAUAGUAUAAAAUUGUACUGUUUUCAAUGGGCUGUUCAAUCUGUUCAUUACUUUGGAUGCAUCGUAGAUUUAGUAAAUUUAAUUCAUGACGUACCGUUAAUGCCCUGAUCAUUUUGUGCUCUAAAUUGCAAUGUUUGCUAUACACACUAUACAUUUAUACUUCACAAUGAGCUUUUGUCUGAAGUGUGUAAUUAAAGCAAGUUUGCUAUUUUUAAUCAGAAAUUGAAUAUAUUCCAGGAAAUAA